GACGAACGCUGGCGGCGUGCUUAACACAUGCAAGUCGAACGGAAAGGCCUGCUUUCCCUUGUGGAUUGCGGGUACUCGAGUGGCGAACGGGUGAGUAACACGUGAGUGAUCUGCCCCCAACUUGGGUAUAAGCCUGGGAAACUGGGUCUAAUUCCCGAUAGGACUGCAGGGUGGUGCCUGUGGUGGAAAACGAUUUUCUAGUGGUUGGGGAUGAGCUCGCGGCCUAUCAGCUUGUUGGUGGGGUAAUGGCCUACCAAGGCGGCGACGGGUAGCCGGCCUGAGAGGGUGGACGGCCACAUUGGGACUGAGAUACAGCCCAGACUCCUACGGGAGGCAGCAGUGGGGAAUAUUACACAAUGGGCGGAAGCCUGAUGCAGCGACGCCGCGUGGGGGAUGACGGCCUUCGGGUUGUAAACUCCUUUCGACCGCGAGGAAGCCACCUGGUUGGAAGGGUGGUGACGGUAGUGGUAGAAGAAGCACCGGCUAACUACGUG
RNAcentral lists this ribosomal RNA (494 nucleotides) under uncultured bacterium. RNAcentral's name for it is "partial 16S ribosomal RNA". It matches the Rfam family "Bacterial small subunit ribosomal RNA", at positions 28 to 507 of the family's 1533-position model. The record is from RNAcentral.